Molecule: microRNA precursor, 172 nt
Filed under: Podarcis lilfordi (Lilford's wall lizard)
Lineage: Eukaryota; Metazoa; Chordata; Lepidosauria; Squamata; Lacertidae
Source: RNAcentral
AUGUAGCGAGCUGAGUGGGGAGGAGAGAGGGACAGAGCCUGCUUGCUUUAAAGGAACCAACCGGACAGGAGCCGCUUACACUCGUGUAAGUGGCUCCUCUCCUCUCCCGCUUUGCUCCUUUAAAGAAGCAGGCUCUCUGUCCCUCUCUCCUCCCCAAUCAGCGGCUCUUCUC